UACAGAGACUGCAAGCGUUAUUCGGAUUCACUGGGCGUAAAGGGUGCGCAGGCGGUUGUUUGUGUCAGGUGUGAAAGCCCGGGGCUUAACCCCGGAAUUGCGCCUGAAACUACAUGACUAGAGCAUUGGAGAGGGUAGCGGAAUUCACGGUGUAGCAGUGAAAUGCGUAGAUAUCGUGAGGAACACCAGAGGCGAAGGCGGCUACCUGGACAAUUGCUGACGCUCAGGCACGAAAGCGUGGGGAGCAAAAGGG
RNAcentral lists this ribosomal RNA (253 nucleotides) under uncultured bacterium. Its description in RNAcentral is "partial 16S ribosomal RNA". It matches the Rfam family "Bacterial small subunit ribosomal RNA", at positions 524 to 776 of the family's 1533-position model. The record is from RNAcentral.